GGAUAUUCCCAAACAGCUGGAAGGAGCUGAUAUAUGGUGCUGCGCCCUCGUGUUGGGCCCUCCCCAAAAUGGACCGGUGCUAAGUGGUAACCUGGUUAUUUUCAGCGCGUCACUGGCUCGUCUCCAAUUAUAGGUUUCGGUUGGGGGCGCAGCAGCGUGGCCCCAUAUUUCCAAUUAUUCUGAAAGAGCACUACAUUGAGUAAUGUCCGAGCAUGUGUGUUUGCCUGUAACUGCACACAUUCCUGCAGUGUGUUGGCUCGUCCGUCCACAUGCGCCACACAGGCCCGUGCGGCGCUCAGCUGCGUCUCGGGCGACUCCGAGGCGGCUCGUCUGCGGUUCUCUCAAGGUGUUCCCCUCUUUUAUCGAUGCUGUUCAGGAGGCUAUAUACAUCCCAGGUUCAUCACACCUCUCCUGUUUCCUCCCUGACCAGCAACAUGUUAGUGUGCUGCGACGCCUGGUGGCGGUGACGUGACACGACACCUCAUUACAUGCAUGUGCCAAACAAGCUUUACUGUUUUAUUCAGAUCACUGAGUGUGAUCACGUGCAGCUGCACAUCAGGGCCAAUAGCAGCUGGAUUCUGCUGGACAAAUUUAAUCAGUGGCGUCAUUUUAGAUUUUCUAUUAAGUCAGCAAAGUGUAAUGUUUUGUUUUAUGUUAUGUUAUGUGUUAUUCUUUAUGCUAUUUUGCAUUUUCUUUUGUUAUUUUGGCAUUUUGAAAAAACAUUUUUUUCUUCUGUUAGUUUCUAUUCUGUUGUAAUCUACUGUGAUACUUUGCAUUCUGUUCUAUUCUGACAUGUUUCAUUCUAUUCUGUUCAGUUGGGUUCUAUUAUAUUACAUUCUCAUAUUUUCUAUUCUUUUCUAUUCUCUUCUAUUCUAUUGCCGGGGUCAUGCUCCACUUUUAGUGGCUGUGACGCUCCCAUCAGUCAGCUGCUUCAAUGUAGACAAGACGCUCACAAUAAUGCCGGAAAUUGAAUGAUUUUCUUAUCAAAAUAAAAUAAAAGAGUUGCUGCUUAGUCCUGAAGAACCCCUUAUUUUAUUUGAAUAGCAAUUUAAACCUUCUACGUGUUGUAUUUUGGCGUCACACUGGUUUCAUACAAAUUUCUAAGUGCUUGGGAAAUCUCUGUCACCCUAUAGAAGGGCGCAAUUGAUAUUAUGUUGAAGGCAUGUACCGGAAGCGAUGCGUGUGAUUUAGGCUGACUUGACGCCAAAUAGCAAUGUCCGACUUGGUUUCUAUCAGGAACUGCCCGACUUCUCUUAAACAAAAUUAUUCAUCACUUCAUUAACAGCAGGACGGAUGUUCAUCAUCAUCUGCACCCUCGCGUUAACAUCAGACACCCGGCGUGCAGUGGGGCCAGUAAGCACCGGAUGCGGCCAGCGCCCGGCUGCAGGCGGCCCUCUCAAUGGUCUCUCCCACCAUGAAAGCGGUGGUGGAUGCUGUAUGGGCGGUGUGGAGCAUCGGGGCCUCCAUCUAUGACUACAUCCACACCAACGCCAUGGAGGAGCGCAUCCACACCCUGGAGAAUGUCAUCACCAUCCACCAGUGUGUGAUUGGGCUGCUGUCUGCUGGCGUAUUGGUACUCUUCACCUACAUCCUCUUCAAGAAGCUCUGAAGAUGUGUGAAGGGGUGGGCCGGGGCUGACAUGCGAAAAGUGGACCGACCCGAUAUGGACGUUGGAGUUUAACGUGGUAAAGCAAACACUGAUCAGACAGACAAAGGGGAAUUUUACACUUCGGGUACAUUACAAAGGCUCAUAAGAGCUGCAGGGUAAAUGUAGUUUCCAUGGGAAGAAACUGUAAGGAGGAGAUGUAAUGGGACCUAACACAAUCUGGCACACUGUCGAGACACAGCCUCAUGAAAAAAACAAACUAUUAAUGAUCAAAGCAUGAGGUUUUAACUUUCUACUACUUUUUUUUCCCCAACAUCUCUGCAGUGCCACCUUUUUCAUAAAUCUAUCUUCGGGGAAAACAAUCUGAAGUUCAUGUGUUCUGUGAGUAAUAUAAUGGUUGUGUAGGAGGUGAGCAUGUGGGGCUACAAGGUCCAACUGUUUUUUAAAGGCUAGUGUAGAUAGUUUUUAUAGUGAUGACAUAUUUUAUGCACCAGUAUUCAGUAUCUUUACAUUUUCAUUUUAAAUAUAAGAUUUAACACUUCAUUUUAAUGGUUUAAACACCAACAGAAUUAAUUGUUCCCUCCCAAAACUUUAUUCCUAGCCAGGUUAAGCAUAAAUAAAAGCGUAUACAGCAUUAUACUUUUUCUGUUAACGUUUUGUUAUAUCCCACACCUGUUACAUCACUGUUGGCACGAGUGCUAUAUAAAAGACAACAUGAAGUGUCCUUAAAAACUGUAAAUAUGUUUUUGAUGUUUGUAGCAGUAUUUCUUUUAUCUGGCCAUUGAAAGUUUUCAUAGAUGUGCUACUACCCCAUAGUACUACUGCUGCUUAAUAUUUAUGGUUUUGUUUUUGUAACAUGUAACAGUGUAAGAUUUAAGAGAUGAUUCUAGGUACUGACUGCAAACACUGGAUCAACGUAUGGUAUGAAAUUAUAAGUGUCUUUUACAGGAUAAAGGACGUUUUUGUCACGUUAACUUAAUUUAACUUCACUUGCUGAGAGGACUGUUUAAAGAAGCGGUAAGUCAAUGGAAACUACUGCCAUAACAGUCCUGAGUUUAGAAAAAUAAGUGUAUGUGCUGUGUGUAUAUCUGUGUACAUUUGUAACUGUCCCAGAGGGAACAGAACAAGAGGAACACCUAAGGAUGAAACACUGUUUUAAUAUCAUUUUAACAGCAAGGUUGUUUUCUCAAAAUGCCAAAUAAAUGUGAAAUUCUUGCA
Long non-coding RNA from Seriola aureovittata, 2824 nucleotides. RefSeq lists it as uncharacterized. The transcript is spliced from 2 exons. Lineage: Eukaryota; Metazoa; Chordata; Actinopteri; Carangiformes; Carangidae. The record is from RefSeq and is a predicted model, not a curated record.